Molecule: long non-coding RNA, 654 nt
Organism: Humulus lupulus (European hop)
Lineage: Eukaryota; Viridiplantae; Streptophyta; Magnoliopsida; Rosales; Cannabaceae
Exons: 2
Source: RefSeq, a predicted model, not a curated record
AGGUUAACCACAUAUUAUGAGUAAUUGACUACCAUCAAUAUAACUUGUGACUAUCUUAGGGCCCGUUCGUAACUCUUAAAAAAAAUGGUUUUUUAGUAUUUUAAUUAAAAAUCUGAAAAUAUAGUAAGGAAAUACGUUCGGUAAUUCAAUUUUAUUUUUUAUUUUUUUAAUAUAAAAUCAAAAUUAAUUAAAUUUUGAAAACAUAAAUUUGAAGCUUUUAAAAAAAAAUUAAAUCGUAUUUUCAUUUGUUCCCUCGUAUUUUCAUUUGUUCUCUUUCCUUUUUUUCCUUGUUCUCUCUCUCCUUGGAUUGGGUGCUCUCUCUCCCUUGACUCGUCUCCUUCGAAGCGGCGGUCACAACCUCUGUUCUCUCUGGCCACUACUUUACAAAGCACGGAUGGAACUUUGACUGAUAGUGUAGAGUUCAGUAUUUCUAGAACUCAUACGUGAAAUGGCUCAUGUUCGUGAUAAAAUUGUUGAUCAUAUAUGAAGAACUAGUCGACGAUAGUAAGAUUGAGUAAAGACAUUAGUUGAUUAUUAUGACUCGUUUAAUACUUUACUUUAAGUUUGGACAAUUAUCAAUUCAUACGUUUUUAUUUUACUAUGUAGACGUUAUUGAUUUUGUGUUAUCUCAUGAAUAGAUAUUAAGUUUUGAAA